RNAcentral lists this ribosomal RNA (433 nucleotides) under uncultured bacterium. RNAcentral's name for it is "partial 16S ribosomal RNA". It matches the Rfam family "Bacterial small subunit ribosomal RNA", at positions 29 to 507 of the family's 1533-position model. The record is from RNAcentral.
AACGAACGCUGGCGGCAUGCCUAACACAUGCAAGUCGAACGAGACCUUCGGGUCUAGUUGCGCACGGGUGCGUAACGCGUGGGAACCUGCCCUUAGGUUCGGAAUAACUCCCCGAAAGGGGUGCUAAUACCGGAUAAUGUCUUCGGACCAAAGAUUUAUCGCCUUUGGAUGGGCCCGCGUUGGAUUAGCUAGUUGGUAGGGUAAAAGCCUACCAAGGCGACGAUCCAUAGCUGGUCUGAGAGGAUGAUCAGCCACACUGGGACUGAGACACGGCCCAGACUCCUACGGGAGGAAGCAGUGGGGAAUAUUGGACAAUGGGCGAAAGCAUGAUGCAGCAAUGCCGCGUGAGUGAUGAAGGCGUUAGGGUUGUAAAGCUCUUUUAACCGGGAUGAUAAUGACAGUACCGGGAGAAUAAGCUCCGGCUAACUCCGUG